Molecule: long non-coding RNA, 352 nt
Filed under: Mytilus galloprovincialis (Mediterranean mussel)
Lineage: Eukaryota; Metazoa; Mollusca; Bivalvia; Mytilida; Mytilidae
Source: RNAcentral
GUGGUUCCUUAGUAAAUACUGACUGAAAUUGUUGGUUAAGAAUGUCUGCUUUUUCAGUAGUGUCUGUAACAAGUAUACCUUCUUUUUUCAGAGGUGCAAUUCCUGUAUUAUCAUUUCUAGUGCUUUUGAUGAACUGAAAUAGCUUUUUUGGUUUUGUGUUUGUGGACUGAUGUUGGUCCGGUUCAUUGAUUGGUAAAUCACAAAUAAUUUGUUCUAUGUAGUUCCAGUAUGCCUUCCUUUGUUCUUUUUGAACUGUUUGUUUUAGUUUCUUGUAUUUAGAAGGAUUUCUAUUUCUGUUUUUAUAACACUUAUUUUUCUUGUUAAUGAGUUUCCUAAGGUUGUUGUUUAUCCA